This 500-nucleotide ribosomal RNA is filed under the name uncultured bacterium. RNAcentral's name for it is "partial 16S ribosomal RNA". It matches the Rfam family "Bacterial small subunit ribosomal RNA", at positions 29 to 523 of the family's 1533-position model. The record is from RNAcentral.
AUUGAACGCUGGCGGCAUGCCUUACACAUGCAAGUCGAACGGCAGCACGGGAGCAAUCCUGGUGGCGAGUGGCGAACGGGUGAGUAAUAUAUCGGAACGUGCCCAGUCGUGGGGGAUAACGUAGCGAAAGCUACGCUAAUACCGCAUACGACCUAUGGAUGAAAGCGGGGGAUCGCAAGACCUCGCGCGAUUGGAGCGGCCGAUAUCAGAUUAGGUAGUUGGUGAGGUAAAGGCUCACCAAGCCGACGAUCUGUAGCUGGUCGGAGAGGACGGCCAGCCACACAGGGACUGAGACACGGCCCAGGCUCCUACGGGAGGCAGCGGUGGGGAAUUGUGAACAAUGGGCGCAAGCCUGAUCCAGCAAUGCCGCGUGCAGGAUGAAGGCCUUCGGGUUGUAAACUGCUUUUGUACGGAACGAAACGGCGAGCUCUAAUACAGUUUGCUAAUGACGGUACCGUAAGAAUAAGCACCGGCUAACUACGUGCCAGCCGCCGCCGUAA